CCUGCCCAGUGACCCCCCAGUUUAACGGCCGCGGUAUCCUGACCGUGCAAAGGUAGCGCAACCACUUGUCUUUUAAAUAGAGACUUGUAUGAAAGGCAUCACGAGGAUCAAACUGUCUCCUUUUUUCAAUCCGUGAAACUAAUCUCCCCGUGAAGAAGCGGGGAUCCCACUAUAAGACGAGAAGACCCUGUGGAGCUUAAGGCUAAGCAGUUACCGCUUUUCUCUUUGCCCCCAUACCGGGCAUAUAGCGCUUAACUGCUCACCUUAGGUUGGGGCGACCGCGGAGUAAAGCUCACCCUCCGCGCUAGGGAAUCACCCAGCGAAGAGCCACAACUCUAUGCAUCAACAAAUUGAUAUAAUUGACCCAAUUACUUGAGCAACGAACUAAGUUACCCCAGGGAUAACAGCGCAAUCCACUUCAAGAGCCCUUAUCGACAAGUGGGUUUACGACCUCGAUGUUGGAUCAGGGUCUCCCAGUGGUGCAGCCGCUGCUAAAGGUUCGUUUGUUCAACGAUUAAAACCCU
Molecule: ribosomal RNA, 524 nt
Filed under: Ischnocnema bocaina
Lineage: Eukaryota; Metazoa; Chordata; Amphibia; Anura; Brachycephalidae
Description: Ischnocnema sp. n. PPT-2019 partial large subunit ribosomal RNA
Rfam family: Bacterial large subunit ribosomal RNA
Source: RNAcentral